UAUUGCACUGAUCAACUGUUUGUGGAGGUAGUGCGCCAAGAAAUAUAGACUGUUUCAACAGAAUUGCAUUGCUAGGCAACAGCUUGGGUCCAUGUUUACUUCCUGUGCAACAGCAAAUAAACUGGGACACAACUGUGAAAUGGUCUAAAGCAAUGCACCAUCAAAAGGAGAAGAAGACCUCUGCUAGCUAAUAAACAAAUGGGCAAGAAUGGUAACGAAAUAAGGAAGCAAGAAAGAGCACCUAGAGAAGGAAAUAGAGGAACAAAGGUUGGAAGGGCCCAGUGCUGUGACUCCUGUGUUUGUGCAGAAGGGAGGGGAUGUGCUUCUGAAAGUUGAUGCUGAUGUUCCUGAGGAUUUUGUUUAUGUUCAGUGGAACGUCAAUAGAACGACCAUUUUAGCAAUAUUUCGACCUGGUAGAGAACCAUCAGUCUUCCCUGUUUACACUGAAAUGGUUGAGUUUCCUGAGAAAAAACACUCUGUGAAAUUGAAGAAUCUACAAGAGGCAGACAGGGGAGUUUAUACUGCACGAGUGGCAUUGGAACAAGAAGUCCGAACACUAGCUCAACACAACGUCAUAGUUCAAGAUCCAGUGUCUCCAGUUGAACUGACAGUGAUCUCAGUGGACUCCAGAAGCUCAGAGUGUGACCUCACUGUGACCUGCAGAACACAGGACUCUCACAUUAACAGCACUUUGAGAUGUGACAACCAAACCUGCAGUCAGGAGGG
This is a long non-coding RNA of Sebastes umbrosus (honeycomb rockfish), 726 nucleotides long. RefSeq lists it as uncharacterized. The record is from RefSeq and is a predicted model, not a curated record. The transcript has 3 exons. Lineage: Eukaryota; Metazoa; Chordata; Actinopteri; Perciformes; Sebastidae.